Pangasianodon hypophthalmus (striped catfish) is the source of this 5789-nucleotide long non-coding RNA. RefSeq lists it as uncharacterized. The transcript has 3 exons. Lineage: Eukaryota; Metazoa; Chordata; Actinopteri; Siluriformes; Pangasiidae. The record is from RefSeq and is a predicted model, not a curated record.
UGUAAAGCAGUGUGCCAGCGUUUCCAUGAAUGUGUUUAUAAUGGACAUUGCCUAUACAAGUAGGGUACUGUCUCUUCAUUGGACUUAUUGUAUCUUCGGUAACCAUUUUAUCCUGGUUAGGGUCAUAGUGGGUCUGGAGCAUAUCAUGGGAAUACUGGGCACAAGGUGAGAAUACACCCUAGAUGGAAUGCUGCUCACUAUUUCACUGUUGCACUGUGGGACGAGGAACUAAGGAAGAAUAUUUCACUACAAUAAUACACCACAUGUAUGUAAUGUAUGUGACAAAUAGAAAACCUUGAACUUGAAUGCCAGUCCAUCAGAAGGCAGCAUUGCAAAUACAUGUUCAAUUUAUCUUAGCCAGUCCACCUACAUGCAUGUUUUUGGGAGGUGAGAGCAAACCAGAGAACUUGGAGGAAACCCAUUUGGUCAGUAACCCGAGCCAGACUUAUUGUAGGUCCACUAAACCGUCAAACCUUUCUACAAACAUGCCCUCAAUCAAUUGUGAUUCUCUGCUUCCCUACCGGAUGUUAUCCAGAGUUUGAAAGCAGGGGUGUGCUACUCUGGGCUGCAGCUGUUGUCCUGCUUACAGGAAUAAGAAUCUGAUCCAUGCACAACAUUAUCUAGCAGGGAAAGUUUAGCAGCCUAAAGAAGAGCCCACCACUGAUACACAGCCUGAAACCUGGACCUGUCUGGUGCUUAGAUACAACAACAAAACAACAUAGCAACAGAGGGCCUUACAGGAAUGUGGAGGCCCAUUACAAGAAAUCAACCACUGAUAUGCUCUUUCAGUGGCUUUCUGAGAAACUGUGAAGAAGUAAAUGUCACUGUAUAUUUGAGGGUUUCUAAAGAAAGUUCCAAACUAUUUCUUUAAUAGGCUUUUUCUUCAGUACAAGAUUAUUGCUGUGUACUCAGAUCUAAAGCAUACAGAGAAUACACAAAGGUCAUUCUUGAUUUACCACUAGCAGUAGCACUCUUAUUCCAGGUUUGGUGCCAAGAAUGGAUGUAGAACAUGUGGGCAGACCCGUACUUUGUGAUAUGACAAAAGAGGCAAAGGAAUUUUAUAUCUGUAAUUAUAUGGCUACAUCCAUACAGUCUUGAGGAUUUUCUGAGAUGAUUUAUGAUUUAUUAUGUCACUUUUCCUAGUAUGUCCUUUUAAGGCAAGUCUGUUUUGACUGACCUUCUGAAGUCUCUGAAGCCUAAACUCCCUUGGCUUCAAGUAAAAUGGCAAAGCACAAUGUCAGUCUGUGUGACAUUUUACUGUAUCACCAGGCCAGGAUUAGAGCACGGUCCUGAAAUCACUGUGCCUUAGAGACUCGGGUCAAAAUAGCUGUUGCCACAAUAUAUUUAAUCAUCACUGUCAUGAGCUUAGCUUACCACAUGUUUAACAGUUCUCCCUGGGAAAAAGUAAAAAAGUAACGUGAGCACUUGCACGGAUCUAUCUUCAGUGACAUGACUCUAUACUCUGUGUGCUCUGUAGAAGAAAUAACACAGGCUCAAGAAGCAAUGCUCAUAUAUACACUGUCUUGCAUAAGUAUCCUCCCCUUUUGACUAAUGCCCUUCUUACCCCAGUGACUUCUGGUGGAGGGCCUCCUCUAGGUAGAGCCACAGUUAUAUAAUAAUAGAUUAUAUGGUGCUCAGUCAGAAAUCUAACAUUUGGGAUAUUUUUUUUAUAAUCAAACCUUGACUGAUACUUUUCCAGAACUUUGUUCCAGACUUGGUUUGAUAACUUCUUGGUCUUAAUGAUGCAGUUUAUUUAGGUAAGAACUCUAGAACAUCCAGGAACAAUUGCAUUUAUUCUAUGAUUUGAACUUCAUGAUUCAAGUUCAAAAUAAAUCUAUUUCAUUGUUACACUACAAAAAGCAGAAAAGUUUAAGGGAGUGAAUACUUAUGCAAGCCAAUGUACAUAUUCAUAUAGAAGGCCAUCAUUUUCUCAUGUAAGAGUAUCUGUUCAAUAUUAAAUUACAAUUACCUUUCCAUAUUUCAGGAAAGGAGAAGAGCCGAGAUAAUUAUUUAGAGUGCAUCAUGAGAGAUCUCAGCUAUGAUGACAUCCAACCUCUGAUAGGAGUCUAUGCAUAAACAAUCCCAGACCAUUACCAGUAAGAGUGCCUUUCAGACUCAUCUAUGAUUUCUGUGAUGUUUCAGAGGAAAUGAGGGUGAGAUUGUUGGAUAGCUUACUUUCAUUGGUCUUCAGUCUAUCACAGUCAUACCUUACACAGUAAUGAAUUUCUUUAAUUCCUACAAUAAAAUACUGCCCUCAACCCAGUGUAAUACUUUGAAUGUGUUUUACGGGGUGAUUCUUUAUAUUAUGUGGUAUUCUGAUAAAUAUUUAUAAUACUAGCUGAUUACUGUAUUAAAAGAUCUUAAAUUAAUACAUGAGUAUAGGCUACCUAUAAAAUAACAGCCCUUGUUUUACAGUAAAUGCUGUUAUCAAUAUACAAUGUAAUCCUUUAAAAAUACAGUGCAAUUUGCCAUUACUGUUAAAACAUUACUGUAAAAAUGCUGUAAAUAUUAUUUAUAGUAACUACCUGGCAUGUCUUCUGCCAGUAAGAUACCUUCAGCAUAUCUAGUGCUUCCUGAAUUAAUCUGACAAAAUGUCUGUUUUUAACUUUCUGCCUCAAUGGGGAAGAAAAAGCAGUUGCAGUCUUCUUCCCUGUGAAAGGGUGUGUCUCCAUCAGUGUGGGAUGAAAGCAGUUCUAGAUGGACAUCAUCCAGCGAGGGUUGGAUUAAUCUGCUCUAAUGCACUGUGAACUCAGUUUUAUCCUCAUUAACAAGAUUUGUACAACAACAGAUUGAAAAAGAGAGCAGGCAAGUCACUGGUAACUAACUUCCUACUUACCCUAGCCCUUGUUCCAGCCCCUUGCUUCAAUUUACAGAGUAUAGGAUUUUUUUUUAUUAAAAAAAUUAUUAUUGAGUCAUAGGACAAAAAAGUAAUCUGAUGUUCUUGAGCAAUCCUAAUAGUAAUUCAUAGUCAGCACUGUGUCAAGGGUGUCAGGUCAGAAUUGGCAAGAAAUUUGUCAGCUCAGAUACAUUAAAUGUUAUCAUGCCCAACUUCAGGAAUGAAAAACACCUGGCUAUGUGGUGACCGGUAGAAGCUGCAGCCAAUCAGAUGAGAGAGUGAGAGAUCAUGUGAGUGUAAAGAAAACAUGCUUAAAAAGAACAUUAAUGAGUACAGUGGAGAACAUCCAGCAAACCCCACCAAAAAUGGUUUGCAAAUUUAUCUCACAACAGCAUUUUUCUCCCACAGAAGGCAAAUUCCAAAAUCUUAUAUCCUGUAACUUUCAGAGAGACCAUUUGGAAUCUGUGCUGUAACCCUGAUCAGUAACACGAUGCAUAAAUUAUAGCAUAUGGUAUAAAGCAAUAUACAACAUGUAAACAGUCAAGUGCAUAUUCUCAAUAUGCUGAACUGUGUACAUACUAUCCUGUACACACUCUGAAAUAUGCACAUAUCACAAUUACAAUCAAUUCUAUACAUGACUGCUUCUUGCUUUUUUACAUUUAUACUUUCAGCACAUUCUGUAUUCUGAUCUUACCACAAAACCAAAGAAUAAUCUCUUUCAUAAUAACUGGAUCAUUUAUGUAACUUUUAUCUUAUGCUAUUCUUGAUUUUGAGUGUAUGUGAGCAACAAAGUAAAAUUCAUCAUAAGUGAAUCUUAAGUGUAGCUAGGUAUACAAUAUGCUAAACAUUUAACACAAUGCGUGGGAUCCAUCUAAUCGCUUCAUUACUGCAAUCAUUAAGGAUGUGAAUUACACAGGACUGGUUGUUCAAUGUUAGUAUGCUCUUAUGUUUUUUUUAAAAUAGAAACCCAGUUAACAAGCACUCAUGUGUUGGAAACCCCUGGCGGCCUCUUCAGCUCCUACAUCAGAAAUUCCAGGCACUGGGCCACUUUUUAGAGGUGGCUGGGGAGCUGGAAAUGGCCACUAGCCUGUAAAACCAACGCUGCCUUCCUGUCUGAAAAGAAAGACCAUAGCACAAUGUGCUAUGCUGUGCCAACAAAACCUGCCACACUCCUGAGCCAUCCCAGGAGAAAGGAAAGAUGUAAUAAGUGGGCAGAAAUCUAAUUCUGCAUCCAGGCAAAAUAUAAUGAGGAAAUUUGGCAUGAGCUCCAAUGUAGUUUUUGUUGCCUUCUGCUUAGUAAUUGUUACCAGACUAAAUGUGACGUGGACUUGCAUAAAGGCCUCAAACAGGGUAAUGUUGCACAGCAACCAAGCAAACACAGAAAAAUAGGUACAGUGAUAAAGAGGAAAUAAGGAUAUAGAUUCAUCCUAAAAAUACAUAUGAUACAUAUGUUGUUGACUGAUCUGUUGAUCACUAUAGUGAAAGAACAAUGCAUUCUCUUGUAGUGCAUGUUCAGGUGCUUCACUACUUCAUCAUGAAAGACUGUAGAUUACAUCAUUGUUUUUGUAAGAAAACAAAGCUUUCAUUUCCGCUGUCAGUCAACUGUUAAUCAUGCCUGGGAGGCCACCGGUAGCUGCUUUUGGAUACUGUAAUACAGAGACUUAUCUGAUGCAUAUUUCUUGCAUGAGCUUUAUGGAGCCCCUCAGGAUGUACUGUAAUGUUGUUUCAUUGUUGCAGGAUUUUUCGGGGGAUAAGGCAUUUAAAAAAUGAGUGUUUCUGUGAAAGCUCAUAUCUAAUACCAAAUAUAUAGUCCUUCCACAACACGACUCUAUGUCUUUCAAUGUCAUAAAACUAGAAAACACAUGAUCAGUUCAUAUGAACAUAUGAUCAUUUGUAAGCCGAUUACCAAAGACUAUCUUUCUUCAAUAUCCCCAGUAGCGUUUCUUUUUUGCUGUUCUAUAUUACACAUGGCCUUAAUUACAAUAGCCUAAGUUACCAAAGAUCCACUGAUAGGUUGUCAUAAUAAUAACAACUCUCCCUUACUACCCUUGACUUUUGCCACACAUUGAUUCCACUCCUUCAGUAUUAUAAUAUUAGCUUCAUUACUUUGCAUUCUUUUCUCUGUAGAUGUUGUAUAAUAAGCCGUAGGGCUUGGAAGUAAAGGAAGGAGCAUCAGAACACUUGGAGGCAAAUGCUCUUUGUGCUGAUACUAGCUUGGAUUGUCACAGAUUAGUCUAUAUAUAGAGACCUAACACACACUGUACAGCAAUACUAACCACUGAACUGAUGUAUAAACCACUGUCUAGUUUUCAUAGUUUUAAAACUGAUAGUUCACUUAGAAGAUAAUUCUUCUCAGCACAUUUUGAGUAAAAAUAAAAUUCUCUCUCUCUCUCUCUCUCUCUCUCUCUUUCUCUGUGUGUAUGUGUGUGCCACACCCACACUUUUGAGAAUAAUAAUAAUAAAGGCACAGAACACUCUGAAACCCACUGCUAAUAUAACCCCCCCAAUUUCACACUAUGAUGAGCUGUGAUGUGAUGUACCUCCAUUUGCUCUUCAGUACAAGCUGCAUCCUGUAAAUAAUACAAACUUCUUCUAAAUAAAAGCUGUGCAGAUGACAUUAGUUUUUUUUACUGAUAGAGCAGCACCCCCUAGUGGUUAGUGAGCUUUACCAGUAGAAAUGGGGUUUUGGAGAGAUCAAAAUUUAAUAAACAACAUUCUCAUGGCUACUAAAACACCCCAUAUUACAGUAAAGACAUGACAUCUAAAAGCAAUAAAGAGCUACAAAUUAAAAACUUAAUUUAAAAACAAAUCUACAGAGGUUUUACUUAAAUGACUAAUAUGACAUUUUAGCUCUGAGGUCAUGCAGGAACCAUUUAGACUUGGUACUGGAUACUGUAGCUGUCAUGAGAAAUAAAUAGAGCAGAGCAUGUGGUUCUCUGAGACGUUUGCUCAU